GUAGGUGGCAAGCGUUGUCCGGAAUUAUUGGGCGUAAAGCGCGCGCAGGGCGGUCCUUUAAGUCUGAUGUGAAAGCCCACGGCUCAACCGUGGAGGGUCAUUGGAAACUGGGGGACUUGAGUACAGAAGAGGAAAGCGGAAUUCCAAGUGUAGCGGUGAAAUGCGUAGAUAUUUGGAGGAACACCAGUGGCGAAGGCGGCUUUCUGGUCUGUAACUGACGCUGAGGCGCGAAAGCGUGGGGAGCAAACAGGAUUAGAUACCCUGGUAGUCCACGCCGUAAACGAUGAGUGCUAAGUGUUAGGGGGUUUCCGCCCCUUAGUGCUGCAGCUAACGCAUUAAGCACUCCGCCUGGGGAGUACGGCCGCAAGGCUG
RNAcentral lists this ribosomal RNA (372 nucleotides) under uncultured organism. Its description in RNAcentral is "partial 16S ribosomal RNA". It matches the Rfam family "Bacterial small subunit ribosomal RNA", at positions 527 to 896 of the family's 1533-position model. The record is from RNAcentral.